ACGGGAGGCAGCAGUGGGGAAUAUUGGACAAUGGGGGCAACCCUGAUCCAGCGACGCCGCGUGAGUGAAGAAGUAUUUCGGUAUGUAAAGCUCUAUCAGCAGGGAAGAUAAUGACAGUACCUGACUAAGAAGCCCCGGCUAACUACGUGCCAGCAGCCGCGGUAAUACGUAGGGGGCAAGCGUUAUCCGGAUUUACUGGGUGUAAAGGGAGCGUAGGUGGCAUGGCAAGUCAGAAGUGAAAGCCCAGGGCUCAACCCUGGGACUGCUUUUGAAACUGUCAAGCUAGAGUGCAGGAGAGGUAAGUGGAAUUCCUAGUGUAGCGGUGAAAUGCGUAGAUAUUAGGAGGAACACCAGUGGCGAAGGCGGCUUACUGGACUGUAACUGACACUGAGGCUCGAAAGCGUGGGGAGCAAACAGGAUUAGAUACCCUGGUA
RNAcentral lists this ribosomal RNA (434 nucleotides) under uncultured Anaerosporobacter sp. Its description in RNAcentral is "bacterial SSU rRNA". It matches the Rfam family "Bacterial small subunit ribosomal RNA", at positions 341 to 792 of the family's 1533-position model. Lineage: Bacteria; Bacillati; Bacillota; Clostridia; Lachnospirales; Lachnospiraceae. The record is from RNAcentral.